UUAAGCGACUAAGCGUACACGGUGGAUGCCCUGGCAGUCAGAGGCGAUGAAGGACGUGCUAAUCUGCGAAAAGCGUCGGUAAGGUGAUAUGAACCGUUAUAACCGGCGAUGUCCGAAUGGGGAAACCCAGUGCAAUUCGUUGCACUAUCGUUAACUGAAUACAUAGGUUAACGAGGCGAACCGGGGGAACUGAAACAUCUAAGUACCCCGAGGAAAAGAAAUCAACCGAGAUUCCCCCAGUAGCGGCGAGCGAACGGGGAGCAGCCCAGAGUCUGAAUCAGCUUGUGUGUUAGUGGAACGGUCUGGAAAGUCCGACGGUACAGGGUGAUAGUCCCGUACACCAAAAUGCACAGGUUGUGAACUCGAAGAGUAGGGCGGGACACGUGGUAUCCUGUCUGAAUAUGGGGGGACCAUCCUCCAAGGCUAAAUACUCCUGACUGACCGAUAGUGAACCAGUACCGUGAGGGAAAGGCGAAAAGAACCCCGGCGAGGGGAGUGAAAAAGAACCUGAAACCGUGUACGUACAAGCAGUGGGAGCACCUUCGGGUGUGACUGCGUACCUUUUGUAUAAUGGGUCAGCGACUUAUAUUCUGUAGCAAGGUUAACCGUAUAGGGGAGCCGCAGGGAAACCGAGUCUUAACUGGGCGUUAAGUUGCAGGGUAUAGACCCGAAACCCGGUGAUCUAGCCAUGGGCAGGUUGAAGGUUGGGUAACACUAACUGGAGGACCGAACCGACUAAUGUUGAAAAAUUAGCGGAUGACUUGUGGCUGGGGGUGAAAGGCCAAUCAAACCGGGAGAUAGCUGGUUCUCCCCGAAAGCUAUUUAGGUAGCGCCUCGUGAACUCAUCUUCGGGGGUAGAGCACUGUUUCGGCUAGGGGGUCAUCCCGACUUACCAACCCGAUGCAAACUACGAAUACCGAAGAAUGUUAUCACGGGAGACACACGGCGGGUGCUAACGUCCGUCGUGAAGAGGGAAACAACCCAGACCGCCAGCUAAGGUCCCAAAGUCAUGGUUAAGUGGGAAACGAUGUGGGAAGGCACAGACAGCCAGGAUGUUGGCUUAGAAGCAGCCAUCAUUUAAAGAAAGCGUAAUAGCUCACUGGUCGAGUCGGCCUGCGCGGAAGAUGUAACGGGGCUAAACCAUGCACCGAAGCUGCGGCAGCGACACUAUGUGUUGUUGGGUAGGGGAGCGUUCUGUAAGCCUGCGAAGGUGACCUGUGAGGGUUGCUGGAGGUAUCAGAAGUGCGAAUGCUGACAUAAGUAACGAUAAAGCGGGUGAAAAGCCCGCUCGCCGGAAGACCAAGGGUUCCUGUCCAACGUUAAUCGGGGCAGGGUGAGUCGACCCCUAAGGCGAGGCCGAAAGGCGUAGUCGAUGGGAAACAGGUUAAUAUUCCUGUACUUGGUGUUACUGCGAAGGGGGGACGGAGAAGGCUAUGUUAGCCGGGCGACGGUUGUCCCGGUUUAAGCAUGUAGGCUGAUUGUCCAGGCAAAUCCGGAUAAUCAAGGCUGAGGUGUGAUGACGAGGCACUACGGUGCUGAAGUAACAAAUGCCCUGCUUCCAGGAAAAGCCUCUAAGCAUCAGGUAACAUCAAAUCGUACCCCAAACCGACACAGGUGGUCAGGUAGAGAAUACCAAGGCGCUUGAGAGAACUCGGGUGAAGGAACUAGGCAAAAUGGUGCCGUAACUUCGGGAGAAGGCACGCUGGUGUGUAGGUGAAGCCCCUGCGGGUGGAGCUGAGACCAGUCGAAGAUACCAGCUGGCUGCAACUGUUUAUUAAAAACACAGCACUGUGCAAACACGAAAGUGGACGUAUACGGUGUGACGCCUGCCCGGUGCCGGAAGGUUAAUUGAUGGGGUUAUCCGUAAGGAGAAGCUCUUGAUCGAAGCCCCGGUAAACGGCGGCCGUAACUAUAACGGUCCUAAGGUAGCGAAAUUCCUUGUCGGGUAAGUUCCGACCUGCACGAAUGGCGUAAUGAUGGCCAGGCUGUCUCCACCCGAGACUCAGUGAAAUUGAACUCGCUGUGAAGAUGCAGUGUACCCGCGGCAAGACGGAAAGACCCCGUGAACCUUUACUAUAGCUUGACACUGAACAUUGAGCCUUGAUGUGUAGGAUAGGUGGGAGGCUUUGAAGCGUGGACGCCAGUCUGCGUGGAGCCAACCUUGAAAUACCACCCUUUAAUGUUUGAUGUUCUAACGUUGGCCCCUUACCGGGGUUGCGGACAGUGUCUGGUGGGUAGUUUGACUGGGGCGGUCUCCUCCCAAAGCGUAACGGAGGAGCACGAAGGUUAGCUAAUCCUGGUCGGACAUCAGGAGGUUAGUGCAAUGGCAUAAGCUAGCUUGACUGCGAGCGUGACGGCGCGAGCAGGUGCGAAAGCAGGUCAUAGUGAUCCGGUGGUUCUGAAUGGAAGGGCCAUCGCUCAACGGAUAAAAGGUACUCCGGGGAUAACAGGCUGAUACCGCCCAAGAGUUCAUAUCGACGGCGGUGUUUGGCACCUCGAUGUCGGCUCAUCACAUCCUGGGGCUGAAGUAGGUCCCAAGGGUAUGGCUGUUCGCCAUUUAAAGUGGUACGCGAGCUGGGUUUAGAACGUCGUGAGACAGUUCGGUCCCUAUCUGCCGUGGGCGCUGGAGAAUUGAGGGGGGCUGCUCCUAGUACGAGAGGACCGGAGUGGACGCAUCACUGGUGUUCGGGUUGUCAUGCCAAUGGCACUGCCCGGUAGCUAAAUGCGGAAGAGAUAAGUGCUGAAAGCAUCUAAGCACGAAACUUGCCCCGAGAUGAGUUCUCCCUGAGACUUUAAGUCUCCUGAAGGAACGUUGAAGACGACGACGUUGAUAGGCCGGGUGUGUAAGCGCAGCGAUGCGUUGAGCUAACCGGUACUAAUGAACCGUGAGGCUUAACCU
This 2899-nucleotide ribosomal RNA is filed under the name Klebsiella pneumoniae. RNAcentral describes it as "23S ribosomal RNA". It matches the Rfam family "Bacterial large subunit ribosomal RNA". Lineage: Bacteria; Pseudomonadati; Pseudomonadota; Gammaproteobacteria; Enterobacterales; Enterobacteriaceae. The record is from RNAcentral.